Pieris brassicae (large cabbage white) is the source of this 231-nucleotide long non-coding RNA. RefSeq lists it as uncharacterized. The transcript is spliced from 2 exons. The record is from RefSeq and is a predicted model, not a curated record. NCBI's taxonomy places the organism in Eukaryota, Metazoa, Arthropoda, Insecta, Lepidoptera, Pieridae.
UUUAUUCAGAUAAAGAACAGUUAUUUAAAGAAACUGCUAUAAAUCUAAAGGAAUUAAGUUUUCAUACACAAUAAGAGCAACAACAUACUGUUUUAAUAAUGGAUUAUAACUUAAAGGGUAAAAUGAUAAUACCUGUUGUGCCAGCAUCUCCUGCUGGUCAGAAUUAACUCCAAGACAAGCACAAGCAAUGGAAAACUGCACCAGAAACAAAAGAAAUAAUAUGACCAUGUA